This 159-nucleotide small nucleolar RNA is filed under the name Patagioenas fasciata monilis. Lineage: Eukaryota; Metazoa; Chordata; Aves; Columbiformes; Columbidae. The record is from RNAcentral.
GCUGCACACAGUUGGAGCUUGGAGCUGAGGCCCGUUUCUGGCCGAGGAACUCUCAAGUGUAGGACGUGUGCUAGAGUAACCUUGCAGGACUUUUCACUGACACCAUGAGGGCCUCAGUGGCCCAAUGAGUGGAGUUUGGUAGUCAUUCUUGCCACAGUU